AUGUGUGUAUAUAUUUCUGUUAAAUAUUUACAUGUAUGUAUUUAGCUGCAGCGCCAUCGGUGGUUCCGUUGAUUUGGCGACAAAAAAUGGCGACUGAUUUUCGCGGCAAUGGUGGCAGCAAUUGCAACUUCAAGUGCGACACUGCAGCCAAUACUCUUCAAUGGAUAAAGGCCAUCGCCGACUUUAUCAGACCCUACUCGUUCUUGAUCAAUGCUCCCGUCGUCAAUUUCUUCAAGGAUAGACUAUGGGAAGAUGUUGAUAAGGAAUGGAUGGAGUGCUUGCGCAAGGAACCUGUUAGGAACCUGCUCCUAAUUCCUUCUGGAGUUGUCCAGGAAUACUGGCCAGAUUCAUUAAAGAAAUUUAUCCUUACUUCAAGAUCUCUUGCCUUCCAACGUGAACAAGCAGAUUUACAGAAGGUUCUGCCUGGUUGGUGCAUGGCUUCGCUUAACACAGUUCUUGCUCAAGGCAUGAAUCAGAAGAAAAAACAUGAGGUUGAAGUCCUUUCGGCCGUUAUUAGUUCGAUUGCAAGUGACCUGAAAACUCAUACUAUUGUUGAUGUUGGUGCUGGUCAGGGUUAUCUAGCACAAGUGCUCUCCUUCCAUUACAAGCAUUCAGUUCUUGCAAUUGAUGCUUGUUCCCAUCAUGGAAAUGUGACAAGUGCACGUGCAGGACGGAUUAAGAAGUAUUACUUAGCUCAGAUUCGUAAGUCUGGAUUAGAAGCCAGCAGUUUGAGACUACCAAAGGCAAUGACAUUCCAUGUGUUGUCAGUUGAUGCAUUAAAAUCCCUUGCCAACAUGUUGUUGCAAGACAAUCAUGUUGAGGAGAGUGUGCCUAGCGAUGAUCAAGAGAAAACCAAUCGGCAAAAGUCAAAGUGUUUGUGCAGUUCAGACAAAGAACCUUCAUUGGUUCUUGCUGGUCUUCAUGCUUGUGGUGAUCUUUCAGUGAUAAUGCUUAGGACUUUUGUAGAGUGCAAGGAAGUAAAAGCAGUUGUUAGUAUUGGUUGCUGUUACAACCUUCUCUCGGAGGAUGGAUCAGACAACAAAGAUGUCCAAAAUGGAUUUCCAAUGAGCUCCAGAGUCAAAUAUUCUGGCUUGUCUCUUGGAAAAAGUGGCAGAGAUCUCGCAUGUCAGAGUGCAGAGAGAUGGAGGAAUUUGGAAAACGAGGGUGGUCUCCAUAAUUUUGAGUUGCAUGCUUUCCGUGCUGCUUUCCAAAUGGUUCUCUAUAGAUAUUAUCCAGAAGUUGUAGCAACUUGCCCAUCUAUCGGGCGUCAAGGAAAGGCUUUGCGUCGUCGAAAGAAAAUAGAGGCUUCAGUAUCCUUGCAGUGUCAUGAAGAUAAGCUUGAGGCGUCACAACAAGAUCUUAUUGGGGAGCUGUCAGCCAACAGAAAUGCGUUGUCUCUUACCAUUUCUGACAAUGGGAGUAUGCAAUGUGAACCAUCCAAAUAUGUGGACAAAUAUCCUCUUUUCGAAAAGUUCUGUCAAUCUGGAUUAAAUCGUCUCGGACUUCAAACUUUGCGGGUUAUGGAUUAUUUUGGAAUAUGGAUGGACACUGAGCCUUUUGCGGAACUUAUUGGGCCUUACUGGUCUCUUCGAGCUGCUCUGGGACCAGUUUUGGAAACAUGUAUUAUCCUUGACAGAUUACUAUUUCUCCAGGAGCAAGGUGGAUCUCUUGAAGCCAUAUUGUUACCUAUUUUUGAUCCGGAUUUAUCUCCAAGGAAUGUGGCUAUAAUUGCUAAGAAAGUUGGUGCAACAUAAGAUUUAUUAGGAGAAAAGGAUGUUAAUGAUUCUGUAUUAAUGCAGAACUCAAGUGCUGAACAUGGAAUAUUUGAAUUCUGCAAAUCUUAUGGAUUCCCUUCGCCCACAUGGCAAACCCGUAAUUCCUCUGAAACUUUUGAGGAAUAUCCAUUUGAAUCCUUCCGGAUCUCAGCUCAUUCUCAUGUUUCCAAAGAGCACAGAAAGAACUGGAGGCCAGGCCACCACAAAAAUGACCAAAUCAGAGUUGCAAUUUCAGAUUCUUCUUGUUCUGUGGCUGGUGGGCGUUUCAGAAACUGCUGCUGCUGCUUUGUUUUUGUUUCUAUGAUGCACCAAAAGAAAACGUUGCUUUCAGUGA
Molecule: RNA transcript, 2109 nt
Organism: Momordica charantia (bitter melon)
Lineage: Eukaryota; Viridiplantae; Streptophyta; Magnoliopsida; Cucurbitales; Cucurbitaceae
Gene name: S-adenosyl-L-methionine-dependent methyltransferases superfamily protein
Source: RefSeq, a predicted model, not a curated record